CGAAUGCUGACAUAAGUAACGAUAAAGCGGGUGAAAAGCCCGCUCGCCGGAAGACCAAGGGUUCCUGUCCAACGUUAAUCGGGGCAGGGUGAGUCGACCCCUAAGGCGAGGCCGAAAGGCGUAGUCGAUGGGAAACAGGUUAAUAUUCCUGUACUUGGUGUUACUGCGAAGGGGGGACGGAGAAGGCUAUGUUGGCCGGGCGACGGUUGUCCCGGUUUAAGCGUGUAGGCUGGUUUUCCAGGCAAAUCCGGAAAAUCAAGGCUGAGGCGUGAUGACGAGGCACUACGGUGCUGAAGCAACAAAUGCCCUGCUUCCAGGAAAAGCCUCUAAGCAUCAGGUAACAUCAAAUCGUACCCCAAACCGACACAGGUGGUCAGGUAGAGAAUACCAAGGCGCUUGAGAGAACUCGGGUGAAGGAACUAGGCAAAAUGGUGCCGUAACUUCGGGAGAAGGCACGCUGAUAUGUAGGUGAAGUCCCUCGCGGAUGGAGCUGAAAUCAGUCGAAGAUACCAGCUGGCUGCAACUGUUUAUUAAAAACACAGCACUGUGCAAACACGAAAGUGGACGUAUACGGUGUGACGCCUGCCCGGUGCCGGAAGGUUAAUUGAUGGGGUCAGCGCAAGCGAAGCUCUUGAUCGAAGCCCCGGUAAACGGCGGCCGUAACUAUAACGGUCCUAAGGUAGCGAAAUUCCUUGUCGGGUAAGUUCCGACCUGCACGAAUGGCGUAAUGAUGGCCAGGCUGUCUCCACCCGAGACUCAGUGAAAUUGAACUCGCUGUGAAGAUGCAGUGUACCCGCGGCAAGACGGAAAGACCCCGUGAACCUUUACUAUAGCUUGACACUGAACAUUGAGCCUUGAUGUGUAGGAUAGGUGGGAGGCUUAGAAGUGUGGACGCCAGUCUGCAUGGAGCCGAACUUGAAAUACCACCCUUUAAUGUUUGAUGUUCUAACGUUGACCCGUGAUCCGGGUUGCGGACAGUGUCUGGUGGGUAGUUUGACUGGGGCGGUCUCCUCCUAAAGAGUAACGGAGGAGCACGAAGGUUGGCUAAUCCUGGUCGGACAUCAGGAGGUUAGUGCAAUGGCAUAAGCCAGCUUGACUGCGAGCGUGACGGCGCGAGCAGGUGCGAAAGCAGGUCAUAGUGAUCCGGUGGUUCUGAAUGGAAGGGCCAUCGCUCAACGGAUAAAAGGUACUCCGGGGAUAACAGGCUGAUACCGCCCAAGAGUUCAUAUCGACGGCGGUGUUUGGCACCUCGAUGUCGGCUCAUCACAUCCUGGGGCUGAAGUAGGUCCCAAGGGUAUGGCUGUUCGCCAUUUAAAGUGGUACGCGAGCUGGGUUUAGAACGUCGUGAGACAGUUCGGUCCCUA
RNAcentral lists this ribosomal RNA (1364 nucleotides) under Escherichia coli. RNAcentral describes it as "partial 23S ribosomal RNA". It matches the Rfam family "Bacterial large subunit ribosomal RNA", at positions 1291 to 2640 of the family's 2925-position model. Lineage: Bacteria; Pseudomonadati; Pseudomonadota; Gammaproteobacteria; Enterobacterales; Enterobacteriaceae. The record is from RNAcentral.